UCCCAUUUGGUGUAAUGGUUUAGCACAUUCAUAUAUCUUAUAUGAAAGACGUUAGUUCGAAUCUAGCAAUGGGAA
RNAcentral lists this transfer RNA (75 nucleotides) under Hypoxylon rubiginosum. RNAcentral describes it as "tRNA-OTHER". It matches the Rfam family "tRNA". Rfam says of the family: Transfer RNA (tRNA) molecules are approximately 80 nucleotides in length. Their secondary structure includes four short double-helical elements and three loops (D, anti-codon, and T loops). The record is from RNAcentral. Lineage: Eukaryota; Fungi; Ascomycota; Sordariomycetes; Xylariales; Hypoxylaceae.